Molecule: ribosomal RNA, 253 nt
Filed under: uncultured bacterium
Lineage: Bacteria
Description: partial 16S ribosomal RNA
Rfam family: Bacterial small subunit ribosomal RNA
Source: RNAcentral
UACGUAGGUGGCAAGCGUUAUCCGGAAUUAUUGGGCGUAAAGAGCGCGCAGGUGGUUAAUUAAGUCUGAUGUGAAAGCCCACGGCUUAACCGUGGAGGGUCAUUGGAAACUGGUUGACUUGAGUGCAGAAGAGGGAAGUGGAAUUCCAUGUGUAGCGGUGAAAUGCGUAGAGAUAUGGAGGAACACCAGUGGCGAAGGCGGCUUCCUAGUCUGCAACUGACACUGAGGCGCGAAAGCGUGGGGAGCAAACAGG